CCUACGGGAGGCUGCAGUGGGGAAUAUUGGACAAUGGGCGCAAGCCUGAUGCAGCAACGCCGCGUGAAGGAAGAAGGCUUUCGGCUUGUAAACUUCUUUUAAUAAGGACGAAAGAAAUGACGGUACUUGAUUAAGAAGCCACGGCUAACUACGUGCCAGCAGCCGCGGUAAUACGUAGGGGGCAAGCGUUAUCCGGAUUUACUGGGUGUAAAGGGUGAGUAGGCGGCAUGGUAAGCCAGAUGUGAAAGCCUUGGGCUUAACCCAAGGAUUGCAUUUGGAACUAUCAAGCUAGAGUACAGGAGAGGAAGGCGGAAUUCCUAGUGUAGCGGUGAAAUGCGUAGAUAUUAGGAAGAACACCAGUGGCGAAGGCGGCUUUCUGGACUGAAACUGACGCUGAGGCACGAAAGCGUGGGGAGCGAACAGGAUUAGAUACCCUUGUAGUC
This 443-nucleotide ribosomal RNA is filed under the name uncultured bacterium. RNAcentral's name for it is "partial 16S ribosomal RNA". It matches the Rfam family "Bacterial small subunit ribosomal RNA", at positions 338 to 795 of the family's 1533-position model. The record is from RNAcentral.